RNAcentral lists this long non-coding RNA (2599 nucleotides) under Sus scrofa (pig). RNAcentral's name for it is "lncRNA (ENSSSCG00055008696.1)". Lineage: Eukaryota; Metazoa; Chordata; Mammalia; Artiodactyla; Suidae. The record is from RNAcentral.
CCCCUUUUCCCUGUAUCACCUGCUAUAAUGAAUGCACUUCUGACCUCCCCCCAGUAUCUUUCCAGGACUCCAAGCCCCCUAGGAAGAUGAGACGGAGGCAAACAGAUCAGCAACAGUGGAAUAAGGGGAGCCAGAGUUGUCCCUGGUAGGGCAAGAGAUGGAAGAGGAGGUGGGCAGUGAAAGGAGCACCGGAUCAGGUAUCCAAAGAUGUACGACCCAGCCCAGAGUCCCACGUACCUGGAACUGCUUUAAGGGUUUCCUGAAAUAAGGUGCACAAGAGGCCUUGUAAAGGGUAAAGCCCUCUGCAGACAACCACUUUCUCCUACUUCACAGGACUAAUUGAGAUCUGCGAGAACUUAUUAACUACAGACCCGAGAGAGAAAACGGGCUUUGCAUUUUAUUCUGGCUUACACUACAAGUCUGCCUUGUAAUUUGUUGCCUUUGCUGUUCUAAUGCCUUCCCUCAAUGUCUGUCCUUGGAAGGGUUCCACAGUGACAAGAGAAAAACCCAACAAGAUACUACAGAGAGACUGUGAAGCCAGGCCAGGAAGAAUGAAAGAUGUGGUUCCAGAAGGCUCUAAAAUGAUGUCUGGAGAGGUGCUUCACAAGCCUAGGCCUGGGCAGGCCCCAAACCUAGUCUCUUGAGUGUUUCUAGGACAUCUGGGGCAGGACUAAGGAGGAGGUGUGGAAAAGGCAAGACCUGGAGUUCCCGUCGUGGCGCAGUGGUUAACGAAUCCGACUAGGAACCCUGAGGUUGCGGGUUCGGUCCCUGCCCUUGCUCAGUGGGUUGACGAUCCGGCGUUGCCGUGAGCUGUGGUGUAGGUUGCAGACACGGCUCGGAUCCCCCGUUGCUGUGGCUCUGGUGUAGGCCGGUGGCUGCAGCUCCGAUUCGAGCCCUAGCCUGGGAACCUCCAUAUGCCGCGGGAGCGGCCCAAGAAAUAGCAACAAAACAACAACAACAACAACAACAAAAAGAAAAGGCAAGACCUUCUUCCAGUCUUUGUUCAGCCGUCUCUGUCCAUAUGUGAGUGGGACACGUGCCCGUGAAGGAAGGCCCUAACUCAAUUCUACUGACAAGAACAGAAAACUGCAGGCAGUGAAAAGAUACCUGGGUUUCUACCCUAAAUGUUCCUACUUGGGGUGAUCUUCCGAGACCCUGAAUAGCAAGGUUUGUAGUCUUACAGUAUCUAGGUAAAAGGAGAUAAUUAACCGUCAGAAUAAAACAGUAAUCAGAGAAGUUUGAAUGAUUAUAUUCAGCAGAUGCGUAUACCCCUUCAGUCAAAAAAAACUGCCAUCUGCCCUUUCCCACUCCCGUACUGUUCUUUAAAACUACAGAUUAUCCACUAUGACCCUCCUACUGGAAACAGUCUUUUAUUUUACUAUUAAUUAUCCUUAUACACAUGUUUACCCAGAUUUCCACAUAAUGGUUAGGGGACCUAGAGUCCUGGUUUGGGUCCCUCUCUCCACUUAUUAGCCAGGUGACAUUCCCUAAGCCUCAGUCCCAACUUCAAAAUGUGGCUACUUGGAGUUCCCAUGGUGGCACAGUGGAAAAGAAUCCGACUAGGAACUAUGAGAUUGCAGGUUUGAUCCCUAGCCUCGCUCAGUGGGUUAAGGAUCCAGUGUUGCCAUGAGCUGUGGCGUAGGCUGGCAGCUAUAGCUCCGAUUAGACCCCUAGCCUGGGAACCUCCCUAUGCCGCAGGUGCGGCCCUAAAAGGACAAAAAGACAAAAAAAAAAAGGUUAUAAAAAACCCCCAAAAUGUGGCUACUACUACCUGCCUCACAUGGUUGUUUUAAGGAGUAAAUGAAGUAAUAACACAGAAUUGCUCAGCAUGGGGCUUGCAAAAUGGUAGCUCAACACAUUCUGUUCUGUUACCUUCAAGUUGCAUUAAAUCCUUUUGAGAGGAAGGCAAGAUUUUAAUAAGCAAGGAGCCCUUUAUCAUAAAUUCAUUCAAUUCAAUUUCAUCAUAUAUUCAAAAAAGUUAAAAUGCACAGGGAAAAAUCUUGGUCUGUUUACUGUUACACACAAGGUUAAGUGUUAAAUCAAGAGGAGUUCUUGCUUUGAAAGCACUUAUAAGCUAAGUUGAAACAAGAUCCUUAGGAGUUCUGUCGUGGCUCAGCAGUUAAUGAAUCUGAAUUCAUAGUAUCCAUGAGGAUGAAGGUUCGCUCAUCGGGUUAAGGAUCCGGCAUUUCUGUGAGCUGUGGUAUAGGCUGCACAAGUGGCUUGGAUCUGGCUUGCUGUGGCUGUGGUGUAGGCUGAUGGCUACAGCUCAGAUUUGACCCCGAGCCUGGGAAUCUCCAUAUGCUGCAGUUGCAGUCCUAAAAAGACAAAAAAUAAAAUAAAAUAAACAAGAUCCUUGGAACACAGAUGGGGUGGAACCUUAAAGACAGGUUCUUUUGCUUAAGACUGUAUUAGCAAUGCUUCUUACCAAUAACACAGUCCUUUCUCCUCCUUCUGAGAACAGACAACUUGAGGAAAACCCAGUCAGUACAGGCACACUCUGUUUUACUGUGUUUCACCUUUAUAAUGUGUUUCACAUGAUGCUUCACAGAUAAUGUGGUUUUUUGCUUUUGUUUUAUAAAUUAAAGGUCUGUGGCAACCC